GGUCCGCUGCAGAGGGCUCUGCUGGUCCGUGGUACGGAGGGGGCAAAUGAUCAAGGGGUUCCCAGUUUUCGACCCUUGAUCCACGCUUUUGUUUUACCGGGAAUAGCCCUACGCUGGCAGUCAACCAGAGCCUGGCAUAUUCUUUCUCCUCGGGGUCCGAGGGAACUUUGCUCUCUAUAUGAGAGAGCAACUCGUUACAUGUCCACCUUUCAAAUGUGCCCAACACAGGCCAAAUGAGGUGGUUUCUCAGUUCUUGCCCUCCCCAGAUCUCAGAACAAUACUGGAUCAUUUUUGCUUUUGAUCUCUUUUUCCUUUCAGAGCAAUUUUCCCAAUAUUUUAACAUCCACCCCAAGGGACUUUCCGGUGGGAUGUCCAGCGAUCCCUUCACUCACUCGGAGGGACCCUUUCCAUUAUCCUUCUUCUGCACUUUACUUUUCUUUUGUCCCAUUAUUGAAAAAAAUUUCUUACCUUCUCCUGCGUUGUGUUCGUUCCGCCUUUGUCCGAGAAAUCAGAGUUUUGCUUAAUACUCACCACUCGGUUUGCUGCACUGGGGUCUCUUGUAUUAGUGCCUUGAUUCUCCUUUUGGACCUGUGCCAAGGUCCAUUGACUGAAAGGGUUUACCAAUUCCCGAGCUUGAUGGGACGUUUCCUUCCCCUUUCAGCCUCCUGUGAUCGGUCCCCCAGGACUCCCUUUCGUCCCAGGUUUUUACAAGCGUGUAAAGAGAGAACUUUUUCACCCCGAAUCGCUUCCUCCAUGGCCAGCCAACUUCCUCGCAGAAGGAUGGAACCACGGCCUUGGAGUCCGUACUCGCUUCGUGAUCAGAUCACGUCUCACACACUCGCCCAAUCACCAGCUCAACCCCACAAUACUUACAGCUAUUUUCCUGUGAGGGUGUCUUCGUGCACAAUUGACUUUUUACGAGCUACCAAGCCGCAGCUUUUCCUGAAGGCUCCAUGCCUUCCCGAGCUCUCUGGAUCCGUUUCUCCUUUUUAUUGUGGUUUUUGCCCUAGCCUAAAUUUGGUUCGGAUGUAGGAACGAGCUGCGGAGAUUCUCGACUCACCAGGCCGCUGAAAUCAGCAGGGGUACCCACCCUGGACAGUGAGAUUCUCCCACAGUUUCUCCUAUCCGAGUCAUGGCACCAAU
RNAcentral lists this long non-coding RNA (1143 nucleotides) under Parus major (Great Tit). RNAcentral's name for it is "lncRNA (ENSPMJG00000005849.1)". Lineage: Eukaryota; Metazoa; Chordata; Aves; Passeriformes; Paridae. The record is from RNAcentral.